Molecule: ribosomal RNA, 408 nt
Filed under: Acanthamoeba genotype T4
Lineage: Eukaryota; Discosea; Longamoebia; Acanthamoebidae
Description: SSU rRNA
Rfam family: Eukaryotic small subunit ribosomal RNA
Source: RNAcentral
AGUUUUCUGCCACCGAAUACAUUAGCAUGGGAUAAUGGAAUAGGACCCUGUCCUCCUAUUUUCAGUUGGUUUUGGCAGCGCGAGGACUAGGGUAAUGAUUAAUAGGGAUAGUUGGGGGCAUUAAUAUUUAAUUGUCAGAGGUGAAAUUCUUGGAUUUAUGAAAGAUUAACUUCUGCGAAAGCAUCUGCCAAGGAUGUUUUCAUUAAUCAAGAACGAAAGUUAGGGGAUCGAAGACGAUCAGAUACCGUCGUAGUCUUAACCAUAAACGAUGCCGACCAGCGAUUAGGAGACGUUGAAUACAAAACACCACCAUCGGUGCGGUCGUCCUUGGCGUCUCGGUUUCGGCCGGGGUGCGGGGACGGCUUAGCCCGGUGGCACCGGUGAAUGACUCCCUAGCAGCUUGUGAGA